Molecule: ribosomal RNA, 253 nt
Filed under: uncultured bacterium
Lineage: Bacteria
Description: partial 16S ribosomal RNA
Rfam family: Bacterial small subunit ribosomal RNA
Source: RNAcentral
UACGAAGGGUGCAAGCGUUAAUCGGAAUUACUGGGCGUAAAGCGUGCGUAGGCGGCCUGUUAAGUCUGCUGUGAAAGCCUCGGGCUCAACCUGGGAACUGCAGUGGAUACUGAUGGGCUAGAGUGUGAUAGAGGAUGGUGGAAUUCCCGGUGUAGCGGUGAAAUGCGUAGAGAUCGGGAGGAACAUCAGUGGCGAAGGCGGCCAUCUGGAUCAACACUGACGCUGAGGCACGAAAGCGUGGGGAGCAAACAGG